UUAAGUUCAGCGGGUAUCCCUACCUGAUCCGAGGUCAAGUCAUGAAGGUGUCUUGCUGGAGCGCUGAUCCGCCGGGCCUCCGAGAAGCGCAUUUGUGCUGCGCGAGGGGCCGGCACGACCGCCGCCAAUGACUUUAGGGCGAGUCCGCGCUGCGGGAGCGGGACAGGCGCCCAACACCAAGCAGAGCUUGAGGGUGUAAA
This 200-nucleotide unclassified non-coding RNA is filed under the name Periconia sp. Its description in RNAcentral is "partial internal transcribed spacer 2". The record is from RNAcentral. Lineage: Eukaryota; Fungi; Ascomycota; Dothideomycetes; Pleosporales; Periconiaceae.